AGAGGAACCUGGGAGUUAUGAUGAUAGAAAAAGACCUGGACGAAAGAGAGUUACUACAAAAGCAGAUGAUAAACAUAGCAUUGUCACCAGUAAGAGAGAUCGGCGAAAGACAGCACCAAAAAUAAGGGAGGAAAUCAACAUGACAAGGUCAAAACCCAUAUCUCUGACAACUGUGAAAUGACGUUUGAGAAAGGCUGGUCUGAAGGGUUGUGUAUCUGCA
This is a non-coding RNA of Xyrichtys novacula (pearly razorfish), 220 nucleotides long. The record is from the annotation of a GenBank genome assembly. NCBI's taxonomy places the organism in Eukaryota, Metazoa, Chordata, Actinopteri, Labriformes, Labridae.